CCUACGGGAGGCAGCAGUAAGGAAUAUUGGUCAAUGGACGAAAGUCUGAACCAGCCAUGCCGCGUGAAGGAUUAAGGCCCUCUGGGUUGUAAACUUCUUUUAUCUGGGACGAAAAAAGGGUAGUCUUACUCACUUGACGGUACCAGAGGAAUAAGCACCGGCUAACUCCGUGCCAGCAGCCGCGGUAAUACGGAGGGUGCAAGCGUUAUCCGGAUUUACUGGGUUUAAAGGGUGCGUAGGUGGGCUUGUAAGUCAGUGGUGAAAUCUCCGGGCUUAACCCGGAAACUGCCAUUGAUACUAUAGGUCUUGAAUUAUCUGGAGGUAAGCGGAAUAUGUCAUGUAGCGGUGAAAUGCUUAGAUAUGACAUAGAACACCAAUUGCGAAGGCAGCUUACUACGGAUACAUUGACACUGAGGCACGAAAGCGUGGGGAUCAAACAGGAUUAGAUACCCUGGUAGUCCACGCCCUAAACGAUGGAUACUCGACAUCAGCGAUACACUGUUGGUGUCUGAGCGAAAGCAUUAAGUAUCCCACCUGGGAAGUACGAUCGCAAGAUUGAAACUCAAAUGAAUUGAGG
Molecule: ribosomal RNA, 577 nt
Filed under: uncultured bacterium
Lineage: Bacteria
Description: bacterial SSU rRNA
Rfam family: Bacterial small subunit ribosomal RNA
Source: RNAcentral